This 404-nucleotide ribosomal RNA is filed under the name uncultured bacterium. Its description in RNAcentral is "bacterial SSU rRNA". It matches the Rfam family "Bacterial small subunit ribosomal RNA", at positions 355 to 776 of the family's 1533-position model. The record is from RNAcentral.
UGGGGAAUCUUGCGCAAUGGGGGAAACCCUGACGCAGCGACGCCGCGUGGAGGAUGAAGGUCUUCGGGUUGUAAACUCCUUUUCUCAGGAAAGAUGAUGACGGUACCUGAGGAAUAAGCCACGGCUAACUCUGUGCCAGCAGCCGCGGUAAGACAGAGGUGGCAAGCGUUGUUCGGAAUUACUGGGCUUAAAGGGCGAGUAGGCGUCCCGACAAGUCAGAUGUGGAAUCUUUUCGCUUAACGGAAAAAUUGCAUUUGAAACUGUCGGGAUUGAGUCAGUGAGGGGAGGGCGGAAUUCCCGGUGUAGCGGUGAAAUGCGUAGAUAUCGGGAGGAAGGCCGGUGGCGAAGGCGGCCCUCUGGCGCUGAACUGACGCUGAGGCGCGAAAGCGUGGGGAGCAAACAGG